This 248-nucleotide ribosomal RNA is filed under the name uncultured bacterium. Its description in RNAcentral is "partial 16S ribosomal RNA". It matches the Rfam family "Bacterial small subunit ribosomal RNA", at positions 523 to 769 of the family's 1533-position model. The record is from RNAcentral.
AUACGGAGGGUGCGAAGCGUUGUUCGGAAUUACUGGGCGUAAAGGGCGCGUAGGCGGCACUGUAAGUCAGAUGUGAAAGUCCAGGGCGUAACCCUGGAAGUGCAUCUGAUACUGCAGAGCUUGAGUAUCGGAGGGGAAAGUAGAAUUCCCGGUGUAGAGGUGAAAUUCGUAGAUAUCGGGAGGAAUACCGGUGGCGAAGGCGUCUUUCUGGACGAAUACUGACGCUGAUGCGCGAAAGCGUGGGGAGC